This 169-nucleotide unclassified non-coding RNA is filed under the name uncultured Ascomycota. RNAcentral describes it as "sequence contains ITS2". The record is from RNAcentral. Lineage: Eukaryota; Fungi; Ascomycota.
UCAAACCGUCAAGCUUGGCUUGUAGUUGGACUUUUUAAGGUUAGGAAAUUUCCUUAACCAGUCCGAAAGAUAAUGAACGAGUGCUUAACAGUCCUCGAUGUAAUGAGCUUUUUUCUAAGCACGCAUCGUACGGUCGGUGAACAAUCGUUCGUCACUAAAUUUUUCUUAU